GUUGUGGCUCAGGGGUAGAGCACUUGCCUAGCAUGCAAGAGGCACUGGGUUUGAUCCUUAACAUCACA
This 68-nucleotide transfer RNA is filed under the name Marmota monax (woodchuck). RNAcentral describes it as "tRNA.Ala". Lineage: Eukaryota; Metazoa; Chordata; Mammalia; Rodentia; Sciuridae. The record is from RNAcentral.